RNAcentral lists this transfer RNA (64 nucleotides) under Caryophyllaeus laticeps. RNAcentral describes it as "tRNA-Ser". The record is from RNAcentral. Lineage: Eukaryota; Metazoa; Platyhelminthes; Cestoda; Caryophyllidea; Caryophyllaeidae.
GGGGGUAUUAGGGGUAGAGGUAUUACUGCUAAUAAUUAAAAGUCGUUUUACACGACCGCUCCUU